UUUCCUAAGGAUCACUAAGAAGUAAUUCUGACAAUGUUUCUCAUUUUAUAAGAUGUAGGAGGGAAGAUAGGUUCUCUUAUCAAAAAAGUUUCCAGCACAGAUUCAAACACCACCAUGAAGUUCAAAGAAGUCCAUCGGCGUCCCCCGUGUCUUAAGGUCGUCCCAGUAUAUGUGUAUAUGAAGAUGUACAUCUGUGGGAUUUUCCAGCUCAGUUAGGAACACAUUCCUAUCGAGAUUCCAGAACAACCACUGUGUUCUAGCUGUGGAGAAAAACUCUGCCUGUUUGUCUGAGGUCCAUGUGUUUGUGUGUGGACGUGGGUC
This 321-nucleotide long non-coding RNA is filed under the name Manacus vitellinus (golden-collared manakin). Its description in RNAcentral is "lncRNA (ENSMVIG00005018540.1)". Lineage: Eukaryota; Metazoa; Chordata; Aves; Passeriformes; Pipridae. The record is from RNAcentral.